UAGUCAGCGCCAAGCGCUUACCGAGGAAGGACGUAUCGCUCGCUGUUGCGCCGCGUAAACUCGCCGGAGGUCGAAAAAUAUAGCGCAACCUGCGCAACUAACACGUUUUGAUACUAGAUAAUGAAAGCAUAUUUAAUUCAGACUAUCAGACUCAAUUGAAUACCAGUACAAAUAAUAUGGAAAAUGAAGAUACAAUACAUGGAAGACGAAUUAUAGAUUUUA
This is a long non-coding RNA of Helicoverpa zea (corn earworm), 222 nucleotides long. RefSeq lists it as uncharacterized. NCBI's taxonomy places the organism in Eukaryota, Metazoa, Arthropoda, Insecta, Lepidoptera, Noctuidae. The transcript has 3 exons. The record is from RefSeq and is a predicted model, not a curated record.